AAUACGUAGGGGGCAAGCGUUGUCCGGAAUCAUUGGGCGUAAAGCGCGUGUAGGCGGCCAGAAAAGUCCGCUGUGAAAACUCGAGGCUCAACUUCGAGCUGUCGGUGGAAACUUUCUGGCUAGAGUCCGGAAGAGGAGAGUGGAAUUCCUGGUGUAGCGGUGAAAUGCGCAGAUAUCAGGAAGAACACCUAUGGCGAAGGCAGCUCUCUGGGACGGUACUGACGCUGAGACGCGAAAGCGUGGGGAGCGAACAG
This 254-nucleotide ribosomal RNA is filed under the name uncultured prokaryote. Its description in RNAcentral is "partial 16S ribosomal RNA". It matches the Rfam family "Bacterial small subunit ribosomal RNA", at positions 522 to 775 of the family's 1533-position model. The record is from RNAcentral.